AUGAGUUGGAUAAACAGUGGCCCUGUGGGACAGUUUCCUAAGCAGGAGGCCUCUGUGUUUGCAACUGGUGGAGUCCGAGGGAGCUUAGUGAAGCCUGGGGGGUCCCUGAGACUCUCCUGCACAGCCUCUGGAUUCACCUUCAGUGACUACUACCUAAGUGGAUCCACCAGGCUCGGGGGAAGAGGCUGGAGUGGAACUCAGACAUCAGGUGAUGGUAAUGAUACAGCCUAUGCAGGCUCCGUGAAGGGCCGAUUCACCCUCUUCGGAGACAACAAGAACACGCUGCAUCUGCAAAUGAACAACAUGAGAACCUUGGACACAGCUGUGUAUUACUGCAGGCACAGUGAAGGGACUUGA
This is a non-coding RNA of Octodon degus (degu), 357 nucleotides long. NCBI's taxonomy places the organism in Eukaryota, Metazoa, Chordata, Mammalia, Rodentia, Octodontidae. The record is from the annotation of a RefSeq genome assembly.